This 430-nucleotide unclassified non-coding RNA is filed under the name Hevea brasiliensis (rubber tree). Lineage: Eukaryota; Viridiplantae; Streptophyta; Magnoliopsida; Malpighiales; Euphorbiaceae. The record is from RNAcentral.
CACAACCUGACUGCUCCCACAAAGUAAUUUACUAUAAGAAAUGAUUUGAAUCAUUAUAUAAACCAUGAAGAACACAGAUAAAGGUUAAACAAGAAUAAAUUCUGAGAAUAAGCAAAAGCAAAAGUACGUGCUAAAUUAAACAAACAUGCAUGUUUUCCAAUACAACCUGACUUGGAAAAUUACAAUUAUUUAAGCAAAAAAUAUUUCUGAUAAAGGAUAGAAAAAAAAGAACAGGAUAUAUUCCAUAUCGUAGAGAUUAGUAUAAACAGUUGGCUCACUAGAAAAUAGUAUUCCAAAACAACGUAAGAACACAUAAAAAGAAUAUCAGAAUUAUAUUUUCUCCCGUCUUUUCUUAUCAACCAAACAGAGCAGAUAAAUUAAAAACAAAAGACAGAAGAAUUUGGAGUAUCACUAACCUGACAGAAGUAGG